Molecule: long non-coding RNA, 216 nt
Filed under: Pan troglodytes (chimpanzee)
Lineage: Eukaryota; Metazoa; Chordata; Mammalia; Primates; Hominidae
Description: long non-coding RNA NONPTRT010686
Source: RNAcentral
AGGAAACGCGGAGAGUGGAUGCGGAAGGGGGGAAGUUCAAGAAAGUGCCCCAGCACUGAAGAUAUGGGUGUUUCCUAACCGGGCCCCCAGCUGGGCAGCACAGCAGGAGAAAAAAGACCCACCACGUGGGGGCUUCAUCAGGGAACAUUACAACUCUAAGAUGAGGCGAAGAUCCCAAAAGCUUCCAGAGAGAACAGAAGCAGAUCACUUAUGAAU